GCAGUGAACGCGCGCGCGUUCACGCUACCGCGCGCCCGAUCGCCCUCUGGUGGCGGUGAGGGAGGGGCGGCAUGUUGCUAAGCAACUUGAAGCCGACCGGUAAAGAAGCUCUGGACCACUAUGGCUAUAAUCCAUCCUGAGAUAUGAGGACCCAUCCCUUAGUCCUAGGCUAUUUCUUCAGUGCCAGGCUAUCCAUCUCUCCGCAAAUCCUCAUCCUUCAUCCAAGAAGUUAUGCAUGCAUUUACCCGAAACUCAACUGUUCAUUCGAGCCUUAAAUAUGUAUUGGGGUUUCCCACUUACCCUUGUCACGCUUCUAAGGUCCAAGGACACUGAAGAGAACAAGCAAAGAGGAGAACAACGCUGUAGCUCUCUAAUGUGGAAAAAGUGAAAAAAAAAAAGUCCAAACAUCUUCUACAUGGAGUCGAAAAAAAGGAUAAAUAUCACCGUUGAUGAAAUCAUCUUGUUUGGAACAGUGGGGAUGAAGCAGGUGUGGUAACCUCAUUCCCAUUCUCUUCUGCCCUGAAGUAGCUUCUCCAGCUUCCCUCAAAGUUGGAGGAUCUUGAACUCGGACCCUCUCCUCUCGCCGUCUUCAGUUUCUUCAGCAUCCAGGAUGCCUCCUGACAGUGGCUGAGUCCAACUGGCCUUGGGUCUAUUUCUCAGGCUCUCUUGGCCUCAGCGUGUUCAUCUGUAAAAGAACCUACUGAGGAGGAGACAAAGCCCCUGACUGGCCUCAAGCUCACCAAAUAAGGCAGGCUGCCCAGCCAGAGUUCCAGGGAUCCACUAGUUCCUGCCUCCAAGUGGCACCACAGUGUCCUAUCGCCCCAGAGAGACGCUGGCCUCAGAGCACAGCCAGGUUGUGGCAGGACUUGGAGCGGGCUUUGAGUGCCCGGCGUCGUGCGCUGCGUGCUGUCAGGCGUGCCAGGAAGCGGCGGGCACGCUGGCCCAAGCUGGCCCGCCGUCGAGGUGAAGGUGUCUCCGGGGCCGCAUUGUCUUGGCGGCGCAGGCGCAGUUGGCGCACCACACCUUCGAAGAGCUCUGUCACGUUGUGCUGCAGAGUGGCUGAGGUCUCGAUGAACUUGCAGUCGAACACCACAGCGCAGGCGCGGCCCUCUGAGGGGACAAAGCCAUAGCCAGAAGGCAGAGAGACUUCUCGGCAACGAGCCAGGUCGGCCUUGUUGCCCACCAGGAUGAUAGGCACAUGGGCGGCCUGGUGCGUGCGCCUCAGCUGGAUUCGGAGCUCGGAGGCACUCUCAAAGCUGCUGCGAUCUGCGAUGGAGUACACGAUGACAUAGGCGCUGCCCGCCUGCAGGCAUGACUCCUGGCUCCAGCUUUCAUCCUGCGGGGGAGGGACCCCAGGCCCAUCCUCAGAGGGUGCCUAUCCCUGGCUGGGAAAGAGGCUCUGUUGGUCUAAAGGGCAGAGUAGGAGAGGUUCUACUUGGAAUGGUUUUGGUGGACACAUUCUAUCAUAAUGCCCCGGGGCUACCUGGGGAAAACCAUGGAUUCUCUUGAGCCUCAGUUUCUUUCCUCAAAAGGCUGAUGGACACUUCCUUAUUUCCUUCCCACUGACUGUGGGGGCUCUGUCCUGCAAAUAAAGGAAUACCUUUGGCUGUUCA
Rattus norvegicus (Norway rat) is the source of this 1613-nucleotide non-coding RNA. Lineage: Eukaryota; Metazoa; Chordata; Mammalia; Rodentia; Muridae. The record is from RefSeq and is a predicted model, not a curated record.